CUCCCCGUAGCUCAGUUGGUAGAGCAUGGUGUUUGCAACACCAGGGUUGUGGGUUCGAUUCCCACGGGGGGC
RNAcentral lists this transfer RNA (72 nucleotides) under Salmo salar (Atlantic salmon). It matches the Rfam family "tRNA". Rfam says of the family: Transfer RNA (tRNA) molecules are approximately 80 nucleotides in length. Their secondary structure includes four short double-helical elements and three loops (D, anti-codon, and T loops). The record is from Rfam by way of RNAcentral. Lineage: Eukaryota; Metazoa; Chordata; Actinopteri; Salmoniformes; Salmonidae.